This 441-nucleotide ribosomal RNA is filed under the name uncultured bacterium. RNAcentral's name for it is "partial 16S ribosomal RNA". It matches the Rfam family "Bacterial small subunit ribosomal RNA", at positions 338 to 795 of the family's 1533-position model. The record is from RNAcentral.
CCUACGGGAGGCAGCAGUAGGGAAUCUUCCGCAAUGGAGGAAACUCUGACGCAGUGACGCCGCGUGUGUGAAGAAGGUUUUCGGAAUGUAAACCAUUGUCGUUAGGGAAGAGAAAGGACAGUACCUAAGGAGGGAGCUCCGGCUAACUACGUGCAAGCAGCCGCGGUAAUACGUAGGCAGCGAGCGUUGGCCGUACUUAUUGGGCGUAAAGGGUGCGUAGACGGGGAAACAAGUUCGUUGUGAAAGCCCUCGGCUUAACUGAGGAACUGCAACGAAAACUAUUUUUCUUGAGUGCAGGAGAGGGAAGUGGAAUUCCUAGUGUAGCGGUGAAAUGCGUAGAUAUUAGGAGGAACACCAGUGGCGAAGGCGACUUACUGGACUGUAACUGACGCUGAGGCACGAAAGCGUGGGGAGCAAACAGGAUUAGAUACCCGUGUAGUC